GGGAAAGCCACUAGAAUGGUGGGUAAUACUGUAUAAUCCCCGCGGGGGAAAGAUUUAUCGCUAUUGGAUGAGCCUAUGUUAGAUUAGCUAGUUGGUGGGGUAAUGGCCUACCAAGGCUGUGAUCUAUAGCUGGUCUGAGAGGAUGAUCAGCCACACUGGAACUGAGAUACGGUCCAGACUCCUAUGGGAGGCAGCAGUGGGGAAUAUUGGACAAUGGGCGCAAGCCUGAUCCAGCUAUGCCGCGUGAGUGAGGAAGGCCUUAGGGUUGUAAAACUCUUUCAGUAGGGAAGAUAAUGACGGUACCUACAGAAGAAGUCCCGGCAAACUCCGUGCCAGCAGCCGCGGUAAUACGGAGGGGGCAAGCGUUGUUCGGAAUUAUUGGGCGUAAAGGGCAUGUAGGCGGUUUGGUAAGUUAAAAGUGAAAUGCCAGGGCUCAACCUUGGAGCUGCUUUUAAUACUGCCAGACAA
This 468-nucleotide ribosomal RNA is filed under the name Aegyptianella pullorum. RNAcentral describes it as "bacterial SSU rRNA". It matches the Rfam family "Bacterial small subunit ribosomal RNA", at positions 140 to 643 of the family's 1533-position model. The record is from RNAcentral. Lineage: Bacteria; Pseudomonadati; Pseudomonadota; Alphaproteobacteria; Rickettsiales; Anaplasmataceae.